UACGGGAGGCAGCAGUGGGGAAUAUUGCACAAUGGGCGCAAGCCUGAUGCAGCCAUGCCGCGUGUAUGAAGAAGGCCUUCGGGUUGUAAAGUACUUUCAGUCGUGAGGAAGGUGUUAAGGUUAAUAACCUUAGCAAUUGACGUUAGCGACAGAAGAAGCACCGGCUAACUCCGUGCCAGCAGCCGCGGUAAUACGGAGGGUGCGAGCGUUAAUCGGAAUUACUGGGCGUAAAGGGCACGCAGGCGGUUAAUUAAGUUGGAUGUGAAAUCCCCGGGCUUAACCUGGGAAUGGCAUUCAAGACUGGUUAGCUAGAGUCUUGUAGAGGGGGUAGAAUUCCAUGUGUAGCGGUGAAAUGCGUAGAGAUGCGGAGGAAUACCGGUGGCGAAGGCGGCCCCUGGGACAAAGGCUGACGCUCAUGUGCGAAAGCGUGGGGAGCGAAAC
RNAcentral lists this ribosomal RNA (441 nucleotides) under uncultured bacterium. RNAcentral's name for it is "bacterial SSU rRNA". It matches the Rfam family "Bacterial small subunit ribosomal RNA", at positions 340 to 774 of the family's 1533-position model. The record is from RNAcentral.